RNAcentral lists this long non-coding RNA (960 nucleotides) under Cicer arietinum (chickpea). RNAcentral describes it as "long non-coding RNA (CARI_LNC001810)". The record is from RNAcentral. Lineage: Eukaryota; Viridiplantae; Streptophyta; Magnoliopsida; Fabales; Fabaceae.
AUAUAGUGAAGUAGAUAAAAUAAGAUUAUCCUAUUGAAUAAGAUAUGCCAUGUUGAAGUGGAGGAAAGAGAAGAAAGAAAAGACGACUUGUUCAAAGCAACCGUGUAGAGAGUCUUAAUUAAGCAAACAACAUUUUCCUUCUAGUAACAAAAGGCAUAUGAUAUGAUACUAGUAAAAGGAGUUAAGAAUAGGUCCUGUCUUGAAUUUGUGUUACUCGGUUUACGCGGUGUUUACAGCAUUUCUAUAUAAAGUACGUCGGCACUAAUCAUCCUUACCUCUCAUUCUCAACAACAUACAUGGCUACACGAUUGAUCCCUAAACGAGGUCAAGUUCUAAAAAGGAUAUUUAAAAUGGUGUUGUCUUGUGUCUUGUCUUCUGCUUCUACUUCUGCAUCCGUGUUUCCAGCACCUUCGCAUUCAUCAAAACUCACCCAUCAACCACAUUUUGUGUUUCCCUAAUUUUGUUGUUUCUUCAAUGUAUUUUUAUUGUAAUUGCGAUUUUGAGUGGAUAAUUAAAAUAAUAGAAUUUCCUCACCUGUUUUAUUUUGUGAUACAAAGAGGAAUGGAAUAUAAAAUAUGGAUGCUAUUGCUAGCUGAGUCAUACAUACCACAACCCCCUCCCCUUCAUCAAUCAUUUUUCACCACUUAAAGCAGGACCCAUUCUGAAUACUCGAAUUAGUGUAUUUUUUUAUUUGCAAUAUAAUAGAAUUUUUAAUUCUAUUUAAUUAUUAUAAAUAAUAACAUACUAAUUGAAUAGGAUAAUUAAAAUAAUUAAAUACACAUACUUUGUAUUUUUAAAUUCUGAUACAAAUAUUUUUUUUAUUUGUUUUCUCGAUUUUAUUUAUUUUUCAACGCAACUGAAGGUCACGUGACCUUUAUAGCAAGCAGGGCUGAAAAAAUUAAUAAAUUAAGCGCAAAGAGUUUGGUCAAGAAGUUAAUAGUUUUGAGGCCAAUUGUUCCG